This is a long non-coding RNA of Capsicum annuum, 3770 nucleotides long. RefSeq lists it as uncharacterized. Lineage: Eukaryota; Viridiplantae; Streptophyta; Magnoliopsida; Solanales; Solanaceae. The record is from RefSeq and is a predicted model, not a curated record. The transcript has 8 exons.
CUACAAUUGCUUAAACCUACUACACUACACUGCUACAAUCACUUAAACCUACUACACUGCUACAAUCGCUAUAGCUCAUGGAGAUCGAUGAUCUGGUACUAAGAUCUACCAGUGGUGCCGUGGAGAUCGACGCCGUGGAGUGUUCUUCCAAGGAUUUUCUUUUGUUCAUCAUCAGUAAGGUCUUUUUUCUCCCGCAAACAUUUAGGUGUCGUUUGGUUAGCGUUAAAGAAAUACAGUGUUUGAUUGGUCACAUAAGAACAAAUAAUUACCACAUAGCCUCAAUUUACAGUGUCGUUUGGUUGGUCGUAGAUAUUCGGACAAACAUAUCUGUGAUUUGUAUCCUUGAAUCGGACCGACUGUAGUGAGCUGUGGCGUGGUGAGCUUCAGACGACUGUAGAAUUGCAAUUUGUGUUGGAAAGUAAGAUCGAAUUUCAGCUCUCAAUUUGUGUUGGAAAGUCCGACCGAAUUUGCUCAUCAACUUCUCUAACAUUUGCACUUCAAUUGCAUCAAUUUGGGGUUUUUAAGGUUAGAGUGUUCUUCUACGACUUUGACCUAAUUUUUGGGGAUUUUGGAUUUUUCUUCUCCUUAGAGAACAUUUGAUUACUAGGUUCAUUUGAUUGCGUGAACAUUUUUGAUUUCUCCUUGAUUUAUUUUUUGAUUUUUAUGGGUUUAGCUUCUUUCAUUGUUUCUCUGUUAUCCUUGAAUCCGACGCAAAAAUGUUCUAAGAUAGGUGAGGUUAAGGAUGAGCAGACAUGGCUAGUAGAUGGUGAGGUUUUAACUAUUGAAGUAGGACAGGCUCUCAUAGGAAGGUGAAGUUAUACAUAGGGGAAAUAUUCGAAGGAAAUACCGAAUUUCUGGUGUCUGAAAGAAGACCAGAUCCUUCUUCAUUGAUUUGUGCAUAGUUGGGUCUUGAGUUGACUGUAUUGACCAGCAGAUCUGGAUGAAGCAUUGGAAGCAAAAUUCAAUAGCUUAUUGGAUGACAUGGUACUGUUGGUUGCUCAAAAAGGGAAGCAUGCGAUGAGGAUAUCCCUGGAGGAUGGUUUAGAAUAUGCCCUUAAGAAAUGCCGCAAGUCCCGUUUUGUGAGAAAUCAUAUAGGUAAUGAACCACAAAAACUAUCACUGACAGCAAUCGAAUCCAUGACACUUUCUGAUGGUGGAGUUCCUCAACAUCAUGAUUCUAAGGUAGAGAUCUUGUUGCCAUUUUGCCAACCUGGAGUAUAGUUGUACUGAAUUGCUUAAAGAAGUCUCUCUUCCAUAUUGGAAUCAGGAUGAUGCAUAUGGAGGUUUUGGUGGAGCUCAUUGUAUGAUUAAAGGCGGCUACAACUUCAUUGCUGAAUCACUAAGUGAGGAACUUUGCAUUCACUUGAACCACAUUGUUACUGAUAUUUCAUAUUGCAAAGAAGACGUUCCAACAAAAAAUGAUUUAUUUAAGAAGGUAAAAGUUUCGACAUCGAAUGGACGAGAGUUUUCUGGAGAUGCAGUCCUUAUUACAGUUCCAUUAGGGUAUCUCAAGGCAGAAGCCAUUAAAUUUUAACCACCUUUAGCCCACUGGAAAGAUUUAUCUAUCCAAUGGCUCGGUUUUGGCAUUCUUAAUAAGUCAUCUUGGAGUUUCCUAAAGUAUUUUGGGAUGAUUCUAUUGACUACUUUGGUGCGACUGCAGAAGAAAUAGACGAGAGGGGCAGAUGCUUUAUGUUCUGGAAUGUCAAGAAAAUUAUUGGGGCACCUGUUCUUAUAGCGUUAGUGUUCGGAAAAGCUGCUAUAAAUGGCCAGGAAAUGAGCUCCUCCGACAAUGUAAAGCAUUCAUUACUGGUUCUGCACAAGCUUUAUGGUGAGAACAAGGUACCUGAUCCAGUUGCUUCGGGGGUCACCAACUGGGGAAAAGAUCCUUAUAGCUACGGGGCUUACUCUUAUGUGGCUGUUGGAUCAUCAGGAGAAGAUUGUGACAUAUUGGGCAGGCCUGUGGAGAACUGUUUAUUUUUUGCGGGUGAAGCUACCUGCAAAGAGCACCCUGACACUGUUGGUGGUGAUAUGAUGAGUAGGUUAUGGGAAGCUGUCCGCAUAAUUGAUAUAUUGACUACAAACACUGAUUACACUGCAAAAGCAUAGGCAAUGGAGGAUGCAAAGAGGCAUUCAGAUGCUGAAAGGAGUGAAAUAAGGGAUAUUAUGAAGAGACUUGAAGCAGUAGAGCUCUCAAGUGUUUUGUGUAAGAACUCUUUGGAUGGGGCGAAGAUCGUGACCCUAGAGAAUCUGCUAAGGGAUAUGUUCUGUAAUACCAAUACAACAGCAGGAACAUUGCAUCUCACAAAAAGAGUUGUUGAAACUUCUGGUAGAAGUUUUGAGAUCCUUUGUUGGAACUAAAGAAGGGCUUAGCACACUUAAUUUGUGGAUGCUGGACUCCACGAACAAGGAUAGGACACAACUCUUGCGUCAUUGCGUUCGUGUACUAGUACUUGUUUCAACCGAUUUGGUUGCAGUCUAACUGUCAGGUACAUACCACUUUGAGAGAAGGAACUAUCCCCCCACUCCCUUAUUUUAUUCAGGCAUCGGGAAAACUAUUAAAGAAAAAGUCUGUGUGCAUACUAGCCGUGAAGUACGUGCCAUAGCAAGUCAGAUUGUCAAUGUAUGGAUAGAACUUUUCAAAAGGAGAUGGCUGCUAAUGGUGGUCUGAAAUUACUAAGACAAUCCACUGUCACUGAUACUUCGAAGAGCAAACACAUGGAAGGACCUGGGAAACCACCGAUUCGCAGUCCUCCUUCAGCAGUAGACAGUAAACGGGGUUCUAAAGUUUCUGGAAAUCAGAAGCUGAAUGACAUGCCUGCUACGUUAGAAACAUUCCAGAUGUUGAACCAUCGACCUCCCAAGCUUCAGUAGGAAGGUAAAAUUUUCCCAUGUCUGAGUAAGAGAAGGGCGCGUUUGCCGCUGCAGAAGCAACUUGUGUUGCUGCUCUAGCACCUGCUGAGGUACUUUGAAGAAAAUUUGUGAGACAGAUUUGGGGCUGAUUUCUCAGUGUUGCCUGACAAAGCAUGUAUUAUAAAUUAGCAAGCAAUAUCUGUCAAAUGUAUCACUGAAAAUAAAUGUAAAGAUGGGAGAAAGAAACACGGUAUUUUUAGAUGCUUUGAGAUGGAAAAUCCCUCUCAUUAGUGAUAUUCCAACGAUUAUAUUUGGUGCUGAUGUGACUCAUUCAGAAUCAGGAGAGGACUGUAGCCCAUCGAUUGCUGUUGUUGCAUCACAAUAUUGGCUAGAAGUUACUAAAUAUGCCGGUUUAGUAUGUGCUCAGCCUCAUAGAAAAGAACUCAUUCAGGAUCUUUACCGGACCUAGCAAGAUCCUCAACGAGGAACAAUGUCGGGAGGUAUGAUUAGGUUCAUAUUUAUUGAAUUCUCGUUACUGUAACAUUUUAUUUUCGACAAAUAUGUACUGACAUUUGUUUUACUCCCUUUCUCAGACAACUUCUAUUGGCAUUCAAGAAAGCCACAGGAUAGAAACCACUGAGAAUAAUAUUCUACCGGCAUGGUGUAAGUGAUGGCCAGUUUUAUCAGGUCCUACUUUAUGAACUCGAUGCAAUUCGUAAGGUGUCCUAAAUUAAGAAAGAGAUGAAGAAAGUGACAAAGACAUUGACCUUACUUGAGAAGAUUUUGGGGUUGUGGAUAAAUUCUCUAAUAUCAAUAGUUUUGUGUUGAAUUUCUUGAAAUUUAUCGCGACUCGAACUUGCUAGUAUGUAAAAACUUAACUAAUCAUUUGGACUUAAUUACAUUUUGCUUUUGGGUUUAAA